RNAcentral lists this transfer RNA (82 nucleotides) under Ixodes scapularis (black-legged tick). It matches the Rfam family "tRNA". Rfam says of the family: Transfer RNA (tRNA) molecules are approximately 80 nucleotides in length. Lineage: Eukaryota; Metazoa; Arthropoda; Arachnida; Ixodida; Ixodidae. The record is from Rfam by way of RNAcentral.
GCAGUCGUGGCCGAGUGGUUAAGGCGUUGGACUAGAAAUCCAUUGGGGUCUCCCCGCACAGGUUCGAAUCCUGUCGACUGCG